Molecule: non-coding RNA, 159 nt
Filed under: Photobacterium aphoticum
Lineage: Bacteria; Pseudomonadati; Pseudomonadota; Gammaproteobacteria; Vibrionales; Vibrionaceae
Description: Photobacterium sp. CECT 7614 Bacterial small subunit ribosomal RNA
Rfam family: Bacterial small subunit ribosomal RNA
Source: Rfam by way of RNAcentral
UAAUUGAAGAGUUUGAUCAUGGCUCAGAUUGAACGCUGGCGGCAGGCCUAACACAUGCAAGUCGAGCGGCAGCGACAACAUUAAUCCUUCGGGUGCGUUGAUGGGCGGCGAGCGGCGGACGGGUGAGUAAUGCCUGGGAACAUGCCUUAGUGUGGGGGA